CUGGUGACUUUUAGUAGUGGCCAACACUCUAGCCAGAUUGAUUUCAUCCUCUCGAGAAGAGAAGAUAGGCGUGCGUGCCUAGACUGUAAGGUGAUACCUGGGAAGAGUGUUGUACCCCAGCAUAAGCUGGUGGUUGCUGACUUCCGCUUUCGGAUUCGUGUCCAGCGGGAUAAGCGUGCCAAGGUUGCUAGAACGAAGUGGUGGAAGCUCAAGGGGGAGGUAGCUCCGGUGUUCAAGGAGAGGGUAUUUAAGGAGGGCCCUUGGGAGGAAGGAGGGGAUGCGGACAAUGUGUGGAUGAAGAUGGCGACAUGCAUUCGUAAGGUGGCCUCGGAGGAGUUUGGAGUGUCCAGGGGAAGGAGAAGCGAAGAUAAGGAUACCUGGUGGUGGAAUGAUGAUGUCCAGAAGGCGCUUAAAGAGAAGAAAGAUUGCUUCAGACGCCUAUACCUGGAUAGGAGUGCAGACAACAUAGAGAAGUACAAGAUGGCGAAGAAGGCCGCAAAGCAAGCUGUUGGUGAAGCAAGGGGUCGGGCAUAUGAGGACCUCUACCAACGGUUAGGCACGAAGGAAGGUGAAAGGGACAUCUAUAAGAUGGCUAAGAUCCGGGAGAGGAAGACGAGGGAUAUUGGCCAAGUCAAAUGCAUCAAGGACGGAGCAGGCCAACUCUUGGUGAAGGACGAAGAGAUUAAGCAUAGAUGGCGGGAGUACUUCGACAAGCUGUUCAAUGGGGAGAAUGAGAGUUCUACCAUUGAACUGAAUGACUCCUUUGAUGAGACCAGCAUGCGUUUUGUGCGGCGCAUCCAGGAGUCUGAGGUGAAGGAGGCUUUAAAAAGGAUGAAAGGAGGCAAGGCGAUGGGCCCUAAUUGUAUCCCCAUUGAGGUGUGGAAAGGUCUCGGGGACAUAGCGAUAGUAUGGCUAACCAAGCUUUUCAACCUCAUUUUUCGGGCAAACAAGAUGCCA
This 957-nucleotide ribosomal RNA is filed under the name Triticum aestivum (bread wheat). Its description in RNAcentral is "partial small subunit ribosomal RNA". Lineage: Eukaryota; Viridiplantae; Streptophyta; Magnoliopsida; Poales; Poaceae. The record is from RNAcentral.